RNAcentral lists this long non-coding RNA (7421 nucleotides) under Citrus x clementina. RNAcentral's name for it is "Citrus clementina (C. clementina) long non-coding RNA (CCLE_LNC001714)". Lineage: Eukaryota; Viridiplantae; Streptophyta; Magnoliopsida; Sapindales; Rutaceae. The record is from RNAcentral.
GACGAACUUGGCGCCUCGGCCUUCGGGUGGUUAUUUUUGGGCGCCGCUUUGGCCGCGGCCUAUUUCUGGCACACGAAGGCCCCUCGCAAAGUCUCUCGGCAUUCCGAGUCCGGCGGACGAAGUUGGCCAGCCCCACCGCCCAAGGCUAUAGCCCACCCGUUUUUGUGGCCUUUUUCCGCUGGACGAACUUGGCGGCCCGGCCUUCGGGAGUUUAUUUUUGGGUGCGGCUUUGCUCGCGGCCUAUUUUUGGCACACGGAGGCCCCUCGCAAAGUCUCGCGCCAUUCCGAGUCCGGCGGACGAAGUUGGCCAGCCCCACCCCCCAAGGCUAUAGCCCACCCGUUUUUGUGGCCUUUUUCCGCUGGACGAACUUGGCGCCCCGGCCUUCGGGUGGUUAAUUUUGGGUGCGGCUUUGCCCGCGGCCUAUUUUUCAAGCACGGAGGCCCCUCGCAAAGUCUCGCGGCAUUCCGAGUCCGGCGGACGAAGUUGGCCAGCCCCACCCCCCAAGGCUAUAGCCCGCCCGUUUUUGUGGCCUUUUACCGCUGGACGAACUUGGCGCCCCGGCCGUCGGGUGGUUAUUUUUGGGCGCGGCUUUGCCAGCAGCCUAUUUUUGGCACACGGAGGCCCCUCGUAAAGUCUCACGGCAUUCCGAGUCUGGCGGACGAAGUUGGCCAGCCCCAACCCCCAAGGCUAUAGCCCACCCGUUUUUGUAGCCUUUUUCCGCUAGACGAACUUGGCGCCCCGGAACUUGCUGCUGCUACCUAUCUAUAAAAUGCACUACAAAAUUUUAUCACUAGAUAACAUAAAAUUUUGAACCACCAACCUUUUAAACAUCCCACGGCCUAUUUUUGGCACGCGGAGGCCCCUCGUAAAGUCUCGCGGCAUUCCGAGUCCGGCGGACGAAGUUGGCAAGCAUCACCCCCCAAGGCUAUAGCCCACCCGUUUUUGUGGCCUUUGUCCGCUGGACGAACUUGGCGCCCCGGCCGUCGGGUGGUUAUUUUUGGGCGCGGCUUUACCCGCGGCCUAUUUUUGGCACACGGAGGCCCCUCGCAAAGUCUCGCGGCAUUCCGAGUCCGGCGGACGAAGUUGGCCAGCCCCACCCCCCAAGGCAAUAGCCCACCUGUUUUUGUGGCCUUUUUCUGCUGGAGGAACUUGGCGCCCCAGCCUUCGUGCUGUUAAUUUUGGGCGCGGCUUUGUCCGCGGCCUAUUUUUGGCACACGGAGGCCCCUCGCAAAGUCUCGCGGCAUUCUGAGUCCGGCGGACGAAUUGUGGCCAGCCCCACCACCCAAGGCUAUAGCCCACCCUUUUUUGUGGCCUUUUUCCGCUGGACAAUCUUGGCCCCCCGGCCUUCGGGCGGUUAUUUUUGGGCACGGCUUUCCCCGCGGCCUAUUUUAGGCACACGGAGACACCUCGCAAAGUCUCGCGGCAUUCCAAGUCCGGCGGACAAAAUUGGCCAGCUCCACCCCCCAGGGUUAUAGCCCACCCAUUAUGGUGGCCUUUUUUCCACUGACGAAACUUGGCGCACCGGCUUUCGGGCAGUUAUUUUUGGGCGAGGAUUUUCGCGCGGCGUAUUUUUGGCACACGGACGCCCCUCGCAAAUUCUUGCGGCAUUCCGAGUCCGGCGGACAGGUGGGCCAGCCCCACCCCCAAGACUAUAGCCCACCCGUUUUUGUGCCCUUUUUCCGCUGGACAAACUUGGCGCCCCGGCCUUCGGGUGGUUAAUUUUGGGCGCGGCUUUGCCCACAGCCUAUUUUUGACACACGGAUGCCCCUCGCAAAGUCUCGCGGCAUUCCGAGUCCGGCGGACGAAGUUGGCCAGCAUCACCCCCCAAGGCUAUAGCCCACCCGUUUUUGUGGCCUUUGUCCGCUGGACGAACUUGGCGCCCCGGCCUUCGGGCGGUUAAUUUUGGGCGCGGCUUUGGCCGUGGCCUAUUUUUGGCACACGGAGGCCCCUCGCAAAGUCUCGCGGCAUUCCGAGUCCGGCGGACGAAGUUGGCCAGCAUCACCCCCCAAGGCUAUAGCGCACCCGUUUUUGUGGCCUUUUUGCGCUGGACGAACUUGGCGCCCUGGCCGUCGGGUGGUUAUUUUUUGGCGCGGCUUUGCCUGCGGCCUAUUUUUGGCACACAGAGGCCCCUCGCAAAGUCUCGUAGGAUUCCAAGUCCGGCGGACGAAGUUGGCCAGCCCCACCCGCCAAGGCUAUAGCCCACCCGUUUUUGUGGCCUUUUUCCGCUGGACGAACUUGGCGCCCCGGCNNNNNNNNNNNNNNNNNNNNNNNNNNNNNNNNNNNNNNNNNNNNNNNNNNNNNNNNNNNNNNNNNNNNNNNNNNNNNNNNNNNNNNNNNNNNNNNNNNNNGGGCGGUUAAUUUUGGCCGGGGCUUUGCCCGCGGCCAAUAUUUGGCACAGGGAGGCCCCUCGUAAAGUCUCGCGGCAUUCCGAGUCCGGCGGACGAAGUAGGCCAGCCCUACCCCCCAAGGCUAUAGCCCACCCGUUUUUGUGGCCUUUUUCCGCUGGACGAACUUGGCGCCUCGGCCUUCGGGCGGUUAUUUUUGGGCGCGGCUUUGCGCGCGGCCUAUUUUUGGCACACAGAGGCCCCUGCCAAAGUCUCCCGGCAUUCCGAGUCCGGCGGACGAAGUUGGCCAGCCCCACUCCCCAAGGCUAUAGCCCACCCGUUUUUGUGGCCUUUUUCCGCUGGACGAACUUGGCGCCCCGGCCUUCGGGCGGUUAUUUUUGGGCGCGGCCUAUUUUUGGUACACGGAGGCCCUUCGCAAUGUCUCGCGGCAUUCCGAGUCCGGCGGACGAAGUUGACCAGCCCCACCCCCCAAGGCUAUAGUCCACCCGUUCUUGUGGCCUUUUUCCGCUCGACGUACUUGGCGCCCCGGCCUUCGGGCGGUUAUUUUUGGGCGCGGCUUUGCCCGCGGCCUAUUUUUGGCAUACGGAGGCCCCUAGCGCAUGAUUAUUGGCAUAGAGAUGCAGGCAGACGAAGUUGGCCAGCAUCUUCCCCCAAGGCUAUAGCCCACCCGUUUUUGUUGCCUUUUUCCGCUGGACGAACUUGGCGCCCCAGCCGUCGGGUGGUUAUUUUUGGGCGCGGCUUUGCCCACGGCCUAUUUUUUGGCACACGGAGGCCCCUCGCAAAGUCUCGCGGCAUUCCGACUCCGGCGGACGAAGUUGGCCAGCAUCACCCCCAAAGGCUAUAGCCCACCCGUUUUUGUGGCCUUUUUCCGCUGGACGAACUUGGCGCCCCGGCCGUCGGGUGGUUAUUUUUGGGCGCGGCUUUCUCCGCGACCUGUUUUUGGCACACGGAGGCCCCUCGCAAAGUCUCGCGUCAUUCUGAGUCCGGCGGACGAAGUUGGCCAGCCCCACCCCCCAAGGCUAUAGCCCACCCGUUUUUGUGGCCUUUUUCCGCUGGACGAACUUGGCGCCCCGGCCUUCGAGCGGUUAUUUUUGGACGCGGCUUUGCCCGCUGCCUAUUUUUGGCAAACGGAGGCCCCUCGCAAAGGCUCGCGGCAUUCCGAAUCCGGCGGACGAAGUUGGCCAGCCCCACCCCCCAAGGCUAUAGCCCACCCGUUUUUGUGGCCUUUUUCCGCUGGACGAACUUGGCGCCCCGGCCGUCGGGUUGUUAUUUUUGGGAGCGGCUUUGCCCGCGGCCUUUUUUUGGCACACGGAGGCCCCUCGCAAAGUCUCGCGUCAUUCUGAGUCCGGCGGACGAAGUUGGCCAGCCCCACCCCCCAAGGCUAUAGCCCACCCGUUUUUGUGGCCUUUUUCCGCUGGACGUACUUGGCACCCCGGCCUUCGGGCCGUUAUUUUUAGGCGCGGCUUUGCCCGCGGCCUAUUUUUGGCAUACGGAGGCCCCUCGCAAAGUCUCGCGGCCUUCCGAGUCCGGUGGACGAAGUAGGCCGGCAUCACCCCCCAAGGCUAUAGCCCACCCGUUUUUGUGGCCUUUUUCCGCUGGACGAGCUUGGCGCCCCGGCCGUCGGGCGGUUAUUUUUGGGCGCGGUUUUGACCACGGCCUAAUUUUUGCACACGGAGGCCCCUUGCAAAGUCACGCGGCAUUCCGAGUCCAGCAGACGAAGUUGGCCAGCAUCACCCCCCAAAGCUAUAGCCCACCCGUUUUUGUGGCCUUUUUCCGCUGGACGAACUUGGCGCCCCGGCCUUCGGGCGGUUAUUUUUGGGUGUUGCUUUGCCCGCGGCCUAUUUUUGGGACACGGAGGCCCCUCGCAAAGUCUCGCGGCAUUCCGAGUCCGGCGGACGAAGUUGGCCAGCCCCACCCCCCAGGGCUAUAGCCCACCCGUUUUUGUGGCCUUUUUCCGCUGGACGUGCUUGGCGCCCCGGCCUUCGGGCGGUUAUUUUUGGGUGCGGCUUUUCCUGUGGCCUAAUUUUGGCACACGGAGGCCCCUGGCAAAGUCUCACGGCAUUCCAAGUCCGGUGGACGAAGUUGGCCAGCCCCACCCCCCAAGGCUAUAGCCCACCCGUUUUUGUGUCCUUUUUCCGCUGGACGAACUUGGCGCCCCGGCCCUCGGGUGGUUAAUUUUGGGCGUGGCUUUGCCCGCAGCCUAUUUUUGGCACACGGAGGCCCCUCGCAAAGUCUCGCGGCAUUCCGAGUCCGGCGGAAGAAGUUGGCCAGCAUCACCCCCCAAGGCUAUAGCCCCCCCGUUUUUGUGGCCUUUUUCCGCUGGACGAACUUGGCGCCCCGGCCUUCGGGCGGUUAAUUUUGGGCGCGGCUUGGCCCACGGCCUAUUUUUGGCACACGGAGGCCCCUCACAAAGUCUCGCGGCAUUCCGAGUCCGGCGGACAAAGUUGGCCAGCAUCAACCCCCAAGGCUAUAGCCCACCCGUUUUUGUGGCCUUUUUCCGCUGGACGAACUUGGCGGCCCGGCCUUCGGCGGUUAUUUUUGGGCGCGGCUUUGCCCCCGGCCUAUUUUUGGCAAACGGAGGCCCCUCGCAAAGUCUCGCGGCAUUCUGAGUCCGGUGGACGAAGUUGGCCAGCCCCACCCCCCAAGGCUAUAGCCCACCCGUUUUUGUGGCCUUUUUCCGCUGGACGAACUUGGCACACCAGCCUUCGGGUGGUUAAUUUUGGGCGCGGCUUUGCCCGAAGCCUAUUUUUGGCACACGGAGGCCCCUCGCAAAGUCUCGCGGCAUUCCGAGUCCGGCGGACGAAGUUGGCCAGCAUCACCCCCCAAGGCUAUAGCCCACCCGUUUUUGUGGCCUUUUUCCGCUGGACGAACUUGGCGCCCCGGCCUUCGGGCGGUUAAUUUUGGGUGUGGCUUUGUCCGCGGCCUAUUUUUGGCACACGGAGGCCCCUCGCAAAGUCUCGCGGCAUUCCGAGUCCGGCGGACGAAGUGGGCCAGCCCCACCCCCCCAGGCUAUAGCCCACCUGUUUUUGUGGACUUUUUCCGCUGGAUGANNNNNNNNNNNNNNNNNNNNNNNNNNNNNNNNNNNNNNNNNNNNNNNNNNNNNNNNNNNNNNNNNNNNNNNNNNNNNNNNNNNNNNNNNNNNNNNNNNNNNNNNNNNNNNNNNNNNNNNNNNNNNNNNNNNNNNNNNNNNNNNNNNNNNNNNNNNNNNNNNNNNNNNNNNNNNNNNNNNNNNNNNNNNNNNNNNNNNNNNNNNNNNNNNNNNNNNNNNNNNGCUUUGCCCGCAGCCAAUUUUGCCACACGGAGGCCCCUCGCAAAAGUCUCGCGGCAUUCCGAGUCCGGCGGACGAAGUUGACCAGCAUCACCCCCCAAGGCUAUAGCCCACCCGUUUUUGUGGCUUUUUUCCGCUGGACGAACUUGGCGCCCCGGCGUUCGGGCGGUUAAUUUUGGGCGCGGCUUUGCCCGCAGCCUAUUUUUGGCAUACGGAGGCCCCUCGCAAAGUCUCGCGGCAUUCGGAGUCCGGCGGACGAAGUGGGCCAGCAUCACCCCCCAAGGCUAUAGCCCACCCGUUUUUCUGGCCUUUUUCCGCUGGACGAACUUGGCGCCCCGGCCUUCGGGCUGUUAAUUUUGGGCUUGACUUUGUCCGCGGCCUAUUUUUGGCACAUGGAGGCCCCUCGCAAAGUCUCGUGGCAUUCCGAGUCCGGCGGACGAAGUUGGCCAGCCCCACCCCCCAAGGCUAUUGGCCACUUGUUUUUGUGGCCUUUUUCCGCUGGACGAACUUGGCGCGCCGGCCUUCGGGCGGUUAUUUUUGGGCACGGCUUUGGCCGCGGCCUAUUUUUUGCACACGGAGGCCCCUCGCAAAGUCUCGCGGCAUUCCGAGUCCGGCGGACGAAUUUUGGCCAGCCCCACCACCCAAGGCUAUAGCCCACCCGUUUUUGUGGCCUUUUUCCGCUGGACGAACUUGGCGCCCCGGCCUUCGGGCGGUUAUUUUUGGGCGCGGCUUUGCCCGCGGCCUAUUUUUGGCACACGGAGAACCCUCCGAAAGUCUCGCGGCAUUCCGAGUCCGGCGGACGAAGUUGGCCAGCCCCACCCCCCAAGGCUAUAGCCCACCCGUUUUGGUGGCCUUUUUCCGCUGGACGAACUUGGCGUCCCGGCCUUCGGGCAGUUACUUUUGGGCGCGGCUUUGCCCGCGGCCUAUUUUUGGCACACGGAGGCCCCUCGCAAAGUCUCGCGCCAUUCCGAGUCCGGCGGACAGGUUGGCCAGCCCCAACCCCAAGGCUAUAGCCCACCCGUUUUUGAGGCCUUUUUCCGCUGGACGAACUUGGCGCCCCGGCCUUCGGGCAGUUAUUUUUGGGCGCGGCUUUGCCCGUGGCCUAUUUUUGGCACACGGAGGCCCCUCGUAAAGUCUCGCGGCAUUCCGAGUCCGGCGGAAAGGUUGGCCAGCCCCACCCCCAAGGCUAUAGCCCACCCGUUUUGGCGGCCUUUUUCCGCUGGACGAACUUGGCGCCCCGGCAUUCGGGCAGUUAUUUUUGGGCGCGGCUUUGCCCCCGGCCUAUUUUUGGCACACGGACGCCCCUCGCAAAGUCUCGCGGCAUUCCGAGUCCGGCGGACGAGGUCGGCCAGCCCCACCCCCCAAGGCUAUAGCCCACCCGUUUUUGUGGCCUUUUUCCGCUGGACGAACUUGGCGCCCCGGGCUUCGGGUGGUUAAUUUUGGGCUCGGCUCUGCCCGCAGCCUAUUUUUUGCACACGGAGGCCCCUCGUAAAGUCUCGCAGCAUUCCGAGUCCGGCGGACGAAGUGGGCCAGCAUCACCCCCCAAGGCUAUAGCCCACCCGUUUUUGUGGCCUUUUUCCGCUGGACGAACUUGGCGCCCCGGCCUUCGGGCUGUUAAUUUUGGGCUCGACUUUGUCCGCGGCCUAUUUUUGGCACAUGGAGGCCCCUCGCAAAGUCUCGCGGCAUUCCGAGUCCGGCGGACGAAGUUGCCCAGCCCCACCCCCCAAGGCUAUAGCCCACCCGUUUUGGUGGCCUUUUUCCGCUGGACGAACUUGGCGCCCCGGCCUUCGGGCGGUUAUUUUGGGCG